Long non-coding RNA from Megalobrama amblycephala (Wuchang bream), 1770 nucleotides. RefSeq lists it as uncharacterized. The record is from RefSeq and is a predicted model, not a curated record. NCBI's taxonomy places the organism in Eukaryota, Metazoa, Chordata, Actinopteri, Cypriniformes, Xenocyprididae. The transcript has 3 exons.
AAUAUUAUUAGCCAACAUGUUAUAUUAUUGACCAGUAAAAGCUUGUCAGGCUUUCAGCCAAAUUUCCCCAGCUAAAUACCCAAACUUCACCUACACAGACUUAAUGAAUAUGAGAACUGUCUGAGCGUUGUCUCUGAUGGUUCAUGCGUGAGUCAGGAACAUUUGGGUCUCGGCUGGUCAAGGUUGUUCCUCUGCUGUAUUUGGAUCAGUGCCUGCAGACGAGACAGCUGACUUUAUUUUGUGUAAUUGAAAAGAGUUUGUGUGGGAGAAAAAAGGGCUGGAAAACAGUGGGCCGUCAAGUCCUACUCUAAUUAAGACAGGAGCUGCCAUGGUGCUUUCCAUUACACCAAACAGUCCGCUGGAUCUGAGAACAGAAGCUGCAUAUAGCAGAUUAGCUGACUGACUUUAGAACAAGCCAUGAUGAGAAUAAACAGCGUUGAUGGUCUCAAAAAUAACUGCAAGCUUGAAACAACGUGGGUCAUCAGCAUUGCAGAGUCUCUGUAGCGGCAGCUUAUUCCCUCUCUUCAAAAAACAGGUUUGUUUCGCCAGACACACUUCAUCAACGGGACAAAGAUGAGGCCAUUAUCGAGAAAAAUAAUUGAAGCGUUAAAGAUCCAUAAAGGGCGAUCAAAGAUGUCAUCCCUCAAUUCAUCCGUCCCUUGAUGCAAGUCAACAUGAUUGCAGUGAAACAUCAGAUGGCUCUAAUUGCAAAAAACAAAAUCUUUUGUUGAUUGCCGAGACCUGGCCGACAGGUUGCCCACUGGGAUUUUAAAGAUGUAUAACCAAAUCUCCUUCAAGUGCCGGUGUUAAAAAGCCCUCUCUGUGGGUUUUGCAUGAAUACAGUUGAUUAUUCACAGAGAGCCAAACCAUGAUUACAAUCAGGUUGUAUUACUGUGAUCAACACGGUAUGACAUUCAAUCAGGGGUUUUAAUCGAGAGAAUGAACGAUAGCAAUCAGUUUGUUAGAGCCAAAUAGUCUAUUCUUGCCAGAAAUUCACACUAUAUUUACCAGAAGCUAUGAUAAGGAAUAAAAUAUGUCAUAAUUAUGGUCUGUUUUGAAAACAGUUCAUUGUCCAAAAGUCAGAAUUAAUGUCAAAAAGUUAAAAUAUAUUUAAUUGAAAAGAAUUCAUGACACUAUCCUUGUUGAGGCCUAGAAAGACAACAAAGUCUGAAAAUAUUUUGUCUGAGAGCAUAUAAUGUGAUUUUUUUUUUCUUAGAGGACACAAAAAGGACAAAUUAAAUCUAUUCACGUACUUCCAUUCACUCACAGUCUGACCGACCCAUUUACUGUAUGUGUUUUUGUCUUCACCCUGCAAACAUUUCACACUUCUGCACUGUGAGACUCAAUAUGCCUCCCAAGAUUUAUUCUUUUGUAUUUAUUUGCAUACUGAGAUCUCCCUCACUUGUCUUUUAUCAAAAGUCUUUCUAUGAAUACAAUUUGUAUUUAAUGAUCUUAUGUGGACUCUCUUGUCAAAAAUUUUUAAGCUACAAUGGGCCAAGCUCUGUCUGAGAAGCUAAAUAAACAUACGCGAAGAAUGGUGAAUCCAGAACUACGGUUUUAAGUUUUUAUACAUUGUGACCAGUAGGUGGUGCUUUGCAAAUACAUUUUUUAAUAACACAUUCUUUCUGUUUUCAGUGUUGUGGUAAUGCUUUUUUAUUCAAAAUGGCAGAUACACAAAAAUGAAACAAUUUUCUAGAUUUUUUGACUGGCAGGUUGUUGUAAUAGCUAGAGCUGCACGAUUCAAGAUAAAUCAAGAACCACAUUUUUUUU